UACGUAGGGCGCAAGCGUUGUCCGGAAUUAUUGGGCGUAAAGAGCUCGUAGGCGGCUUGUCGCGUCGGAUGUGAAAGCCCGGGGCUUAACCCCGGGUCUGCAUUCGAUACGGGCAGGCUAGAGUGUGGUAGGGGAGAUCGGAAUUCCUGGUGUAGCGGUGAAAUGCGCAGAUAUCAGGAAGAACACCCGUGGCGAAAGCGGCUCUCUGGAACGGUACUGACGCUGAGACGCGAAAGCGUGGGGAGCGAACAAG
This 253-nucleotide ribosomal RNA is filed under the name uncultured bacterium. Its description in RNAcentral is "partial 16S ribosomal RNA". It matches the Rfam family "Bacterial small subunit ribosomal RNA", at positions 524 to 776 of the family's 1533-position model. The record is from RNAcentral.